Podarcis lilfordi (Lilford's wall lizard) is the source of this 68-nucleotide non-coding RNA. The record is from the annotation of a GenBank genome assembly. NCBI's taxonomy places the organism in Eukaryota, Metazoa, Chordata, Lepidosauria, Squamata, Lacertidae.
CCGUAGCUCAUUGGUGGAGCAUCUACUUUGCAUGCAGAUGGUCCCAGGUUCAAAGUCUGGUAUCAGGU